Molecule: ribosomal RNA, 253 nt
Filed under: uncultured bacterium
Lineage: Bacteria
Description: partial 16S ribosomal RNA
Rfam family: Bacterial small subunit ribosomal RNA
Source: RNAcentral
UACGGAGGGUGCAAGCGUUAAUCGGAAUCACUGGGCGUAAAGCGCACGUAGGCUGUUUGGUAAGUCAGGGGUGAAAGCCCGCGGCUCAACUGCGGAAUUGCCCUUGAUACUGCUGGACUUGAGUUCGGGAGAGGGUGGCGGAAUUCCAGGUGUAGGAGUGAAAUCCGUAGAUAUCUGGAGGAACAUCAGUGGCGAAGGCGGCCACCUGGACCGAUACUGACGCUGAGGUGCGAAAGCGUGGGGAGCAAACAGG